RNAcentral lists this ribosomal RNA (492 nucleotides) under uncultured bacterium. RNAcentral describes it as "partial 16S ribosomal RNA". It matches the Rfam family "Bacterial small subunit ribosomal RNA", at positions 29 to 507 of the family's 1533-position model. The record is from RNAcentral.
AGUGAACGCUGGCGGUAGGCCUAACACAUGCAAGUCGAACGGCAGCACAGUAAGAGCUUGCUCUUACGGGUGGCGAGUGGCGGACGGGUGAGGAAUACAUCGGAAUCUACUUUUUCGUGGGGGAUAACGUAGGGAAACUUACGCUAAUACCGCAUACGACCUACGGGUGAAAGCAGGGGAUCUUCGGACCUUGCGCGAUUGAAUGAGCCGAUGUCGGAUUAGCUAGUUGGCGGGGUAAAGGCCUACCAAGGCGACGAUCCGUAGCUGGUCUGAGAGGAUGAUCAGCCACACUGGAACUGAGACACGGUCCAGACUCCUACGGGAGGCAGCAGUGGGGAAUAUUGGACAAUGGGCGCAAGCCUGAUCCAGCCAUACCGCGUGGGUGAAGAAGGCCUUCGGGUUGUAAAGCCCUUUUGUUGGGAAAGAACAGCAGCAGGUUAAUACCCCGCUGUUCUGACGGUACCCAAAGAAUAAGCACCGGCUAACUUCGUG